GACGAACGCUGGCGGCGUGCUUAACACAUGCAAGUCGAACGGUAAGGCCCUUCGGGGUACACGAGUGGCGAACGGGUGAGUAACACGUGGGUGAUCUGCCCUGCACUUCGGGAUAAGCCUGGGAAACUGGGUCUAAUACCGGAUAGGACUCCUGGCUUCAUGGUUGGGGGUGGAAAGCUUUUGCGGUGUGGGAUGGGCCCGCGGCCUAUCAGCUUGUUGGUGGGGUAAUGGCCUACCAAGGCGACGACGGGUAGCCGGCCUGAGAGGGUGACCGGCCACACUGGGACUGAGAUACGGCCCAGACUCCUACGGGAGGCAGCAGUGGGGAAUAUUGCACAAUGGGCGCAAGCCUGAUGCAGCGACGCCGCGUGAGGGAUGACGGCCUUCGGGUUGUAAACCUCUUUCAGCACAGACGAAGCGCAAGUGACGGUAUGUGCAGAAGAAGGACCGGCCAACUACGUGCCAGCAGCCGCGGUAA
Molecule: ribosomal RNA, 478 nt
Filed under: uncultured bacterium
Lineage: Bacteria
Description: partial 16S ribosomal RNA
Rfam family: Bacterial small subunit ribosomal RNA
Source: RNAcentral